CCUACGUGGGGCAGCAGUGAGGAAUAUUGGUCAAUGGGCGCGAGCCUGAACCAGCCAAGUAGCGUGAAGGAUGACUGCCCUACGGGUUGUAAACUUCUUUUAUAAAGGAAUAAAGUGAGGCACGUGUGCCUUUUUGUAUGUACUUUAUGAAUAAGGAUCGGCUAACUCCGUGCCAGCAGCCGCGGUAAUACGGAGGAUCCGAGCGUUAUCCGGAUUUAUUGGGUUUAAAGGGAGCGUAGAUGGGUUGUUAAGUCAGUUGUGAAAGUUUGCGGCUCAACCGUAAAAUUGCAAUUGAUACUGGCAGUCUUGAGUACAGGUGAGGUAGGCGGAAUUCGUGGUGUAGCGGUGAAAUGCUUAGAUAUCACGAAGAACUCCGAUUGCGAAGGCAGCUUACUAAACUGCCACUGACAUUGAUGCUCGAAAGUGUGGGUAUCAAACAGGAUUAGAUACCCUAGUAGUC
Molecule: ribosomal RNA, 460 nt
Filed under: uncultured bacterium
Lineage: Bacteria
Description: partial 16S ribosomal RNA
Rfam family: Bacterial small subunit ribosomal RNA
Source: RNAcentral